This 869-nucleotide ribosomal RNA is filed under the name uncultured fungus. RNAcentral's name for it is "eukaryotic LSU rRNA". The stretch from base 507 to 869 matches the Rfam family "Eukaryotic large subunit ribosomal RNA", at positions 1 to 366 of the family's 3401-position model. The record is from RNAcentral. Lineage: Eukaryota; Fungi.
CAUUACCGAGUGAAAACUCCCAAACCCCAUGUGAACCUUACCUAUCGUUGCUUCGGCGGACACGCCCCGGCGCAUCCCUCACGGGAGAGCCGGACCCAGGCGCCCGCCGGAGACCCCAAACCCUCAUGUUUUUAGUGGUUUUCUCCUCUGAGUGACACAUAAACAAAUAAAUAAAAACUUUCAACAACGGAUCUCUUGGCUCUGGCAUCGAUGAAGAACGCAGCGAAAUGCGAUAAGUAAUGUGAAUUGCAGAAUUCAGUGAAUCAUCGAAUCUUUGAACGCACAUUGCGCCCGCCAGUAUUCUGGCGGGCAUGCCUGUCCGAGCGUCAUUUCAACCCUCAGGCCCCCAGUGCCUGGCGUUGGGGAUCGGCGUGGCGUCCUCCGGGACGCUGCCGGCCCCGAAAUUCAGUGGCGGUCUCGCUGUAGCCCUCCUCCGCGUAGUAGCACAACCUCGCGGCCUGGAGCUCGGCGGUGGCCAUGCCGUAAAACACCCCACUUCUGAAAGUUGACCUCGGAUCAGGUAGGAAUACCCGCUGAACUUAAGCAUAUCAAUAAGCGGAGGAAAAGAAACCAACAGGGAUUGCCUCAGUAACGGCGAGUGAAGCGGCAACAGCUCAAAUUUGAAAUCUGGUCCCCAGGGCCCGAGUUGUAAUUUGCAGAGGAUGCUUUUGACAAGGUGCCUUCCGAGUUCCCUGGAACGGGACGCCAUANAGGGUGAGAGCCCCGUCUGGUCGGACACCGAGUCUCUGUAAAGCUCCUUCGACGAGUCGAGUAGUUUGGGAAUGCUGCUCUAAAUGGGAGGUAUAUGUCUUCUAAAGCUAAAUACCGGCCAGAGACCGAUAGCGCACAAGUANAGUGAUCGAAAGAUG